RNAcentral lists this ribosomal RNA (2909 nucleotides) under Bacillus cereus AH187. Its description in RNAcentral is "bacterial LSU rRNA". It matches the Rfam family "Bacterial large subunit ribosomal RNA". Lineage: Bacteria; Bacillati; Bacillota; Bacilli; Caryophanales; Bacillaceae. The record is from RNAcentral.
GGGCGCACGGUGGAUGCCUUGACACUAGGAGUCGAUGAAGGACGGGACUAACGCCGAUAUGCUUCGGGGAGCUGUAAGUAAGCUUUGAUCCGAAGAUUUCCGAAUGGGGAAACCCACCAUACGUAAUGGUAUGGUAUCCUUAUCUGAAUACAUAGGGUAAGGAAGACAGACCCAGGGAACUGAAACAUCUAAGUACCUGGAGGAAGAGAAAGCAAAUGCGAUUUCCUGAGUAGCGGCGAGCGAAACGGAACAUAGCCCAAACCAAGAGGCUUGCCUCUUGGGGUUGUAGGACAUUCUAUACGGAGUUACAAAGGAACGAGGUAGACGAAGCGACCUGGAAAGGUCCGUCGUAGAGGGUAACAACCCCGUAGUCGAAACUUCGUUCUCUCUUGAAUGUAUCCUGAGUACGGCGGAACACGUGAAAUUCCGUCGGAAUCUGGGAGGACCAUCUCCCAAGGCUAAAUACUCCCUAGUGAUCGAUAGUGAACCAGUACCGUGAGGGAAAGGUGAAAAGCACCCCGGAAGGGGAGUGAAAGAGAUCCUGAAACCGUGUGCCUACAAAUAGUCAGAGCCCGUUAACGGGUGAUGGCGUGCCUUUUGUAGAAUGAACCGGCGAGUUACGAUCCCGUGCGAGGUUAAGCUGAAGAGGCGGAGCCGCAGCGAAAGCGAGUCUGAAUAGGGCGUUUAGUACGUGGUCGUAGACCCGAAACCAGGUGAUCUACCCAUGUCCAGGGUGAAGUUCAGGUAACACUGAAUGGAGGCCCGAACCCACGCACGUUGAAAAGUGCGGGGAUGAGGUGUGGGUAGCGGAGAAAUUCCAAUCGAACCUGGAGAUAGCUGGUUCUCCCCGAAAUAGCUUUAGGGCUAGCCUUAAGUGUAAGAGUCUUGGAGGUAGAGCACUGAUUGGACUAGGGGUCCUCAUCGGAUUACCGAAUUCAGUCAAACUCCGAAUGCCAAUGACUUAUCCUUAGGAGUCAGACUGCGAGUGAUAAGAUCCGUAGUCAAAAGGGAAACAGCCCAGACCGCCAGCUAAGGUCCCAAAGUGUGUAUUAAGUGGAAAAGGAUGUGGAGUUGCUUAGACAACUAGGAUGUUGGCUUAGAAGCAGCCACCAUUUAAAGAGUGCGUAAUAGCUCACUAGUCGAGUGACUCUGCGCCGAAAAUGUACCGGGGCUAAAUACACCACCGAAGCUGCGGAUUGAUACCGAAUGGUAUCAGUGGUAGGGGAGCGUUCUAAGGACAGUGAAGUCAGACCGGAAGGACUGGUGGAGUGCUUAGAAGUGAGAAUGCCGGUAUGAGUAGCGAAAGACGGGUGAGAAUCCCGUCCACCGAAUGCCUAAGGUUUCCUGAGGAAGGCUCGUCCGCUCAGGGUUAGUCAGGACCUAAGCCGAGGCCGACAGGCGUAGGCGAUGGACAACAGGUUGAUAUUCCUGUACCACCUCUUUAUCGUUUGAGCAAUGGAGGGACGCAGAAGGAUAGAAGAAGCGUGCGAUUGGUUGUGCACGUCCAAGCAGUUAGGCUGAUAAGUAGGCAAAUCCGCUUAUCGUAAAGGCUGAGCUGUGAUGGGGAAGCUCCUUAUGGAGCGAAGUCUUUGAUUCCCCGCUGCCAAGAAAAGCUUCUAGCGAGAUAAAAGGUGCCUGUACCGCAAACCGACACAGGUAGGCGAGGAGAGAAUCCUAAGGUGUGCGAGAGAACUCUGGUUAAGGAACUCGGCAAAAUGACCCCGUAACUUCGGGAGAAGGGGUGCUUUCUUAACGGAAAGCCGCAGUGAAUAGGCCCAAGCGACUGUUUAGCAAAAACACAGCUCUCUGCGAAGCCGUAAGGCGAAGUAUAGGGGGUGACACCUGCCCGGUGCUGGAAGGUUAAGGAGAGGGGUUAGCGUAAGCGAAGCUCUGAACUGAAGCCCCAGUAAACGGCGGCCGUAACUAUAACGGUCCUAAGGUAGCGAAAUUCCUUGUCGGGUAAGUUCCGACCCGCACGAAAGGUGUAACGAUUUGGGCACUGUCUCAACCAGAGACUCGGUGAAAUUAUAGUACCUGUGAAGAUGCAGGUUACCCGCGACAGGACGGAAAGACCCCGUGGAGCUUUACUGUAGCCUGAUAUUGAAUUUUGGUACAGUUUGUACAGGAUAGGCGGGAGCCUUUGAAACCGGAGCGCUAGCUUCGGUGGAGGCGCUGGUGGGAUACCGCCCUGACUGUAUUGAAAUUCUAACCUACGGGUCUUAUCGACCCGGGAGACAGUGUCAGGUGGGCAGUUUGACUGGGGCGGUCGCCUCCUAAAAUGUAACGGAGGCGCCCAAAGGUUCCCUCAGAAUGGUUGGAAAUCAUUCGUAGAGUGCAAAGGCAUAAGGGAGCUUGACUGCGAGACCUACAAGUCGAGCAGGGACGAAAGUCGGGCUUAGUGAUCCGGUGGUUCCGCAUGGAAGGGCCAUCGCUCAACGGAUAAAAGCUACCCCGGGGAUAACAGGCUUAUCUCCCCCAAGAGUCCACAUCGACGGGGAGGUUUGGCACCUCGAUGUCGGCUCAUCGCAUCCUGGGGCUGUAGUCGGUCCCAAGGGUUGGGCUGUUCGCCCAUUAAAGCGGUACGCGAGCUGGGUUCAGAACGUCGUGAGACAGUUCGGUCCCUAUCCGUCGUGGGCGUAGGAAAUUUGAGAGGAGCUGUCCUUAGUACGAGAGGACCGGGAUGGACGCACCGCUGGUGUACCAGUUGUUCUGCCAAGGGCAUAGCUGGGUAGCUAUGUGCGGAAGGGAUAAGUGCUGAAAGCAUCUAAGCAUGAAGCCCCCCUCAAGAUGAGAUUUCCCAUAGCGUAAGCUAGUAAGAUCCCUGAAAGAUGAUCAGGUUGAUAGGUUCGAGGUGGAAGCAUGGUGACAUGUGGAGCUGACGAAUACUAAUAGAUCGAGGACUUAACCAU